GAGUGUAUUAUGUUCUCCCUCACCCAAAAAACAAAAAUUGCAAAACGUUGACGAGUAAUAUAGUCAAUUCACACAUUUCUAAAGACUAAUAAUUGCCCCAAGGAAGGUAUUGUCUAUCAAAAUAUUCAAUGAUCUUAAGGUUAAAAUUAUCUCAGGUAACAACAGUGCCUAAUUUUACCCUUUUUUUCUUUCCUUUUUCUGGAAUGACAAGUUUAGCCAUCUGAAGAAGUUCAUGGGAAUUUGGGGUUGAACCCACCAUCAUUCGAAGGGGUCCCAUGGAGCAUACUGAAGGUUUGGAUCAAUGGCUGAUACAGAUAUGGAAAGGGUAUCAUUAGGUUGAUGAUCAGAUGGCUAAGAAUCAGUCAAUGGAGUUAAUUUGUGUGCAUGUAAAAUUGUCCAGGGAGGAAUGGACCCAUUAGAUACUGAGCACUACACAACAUUUGCAUCUGCUUCACACUGUAUAAAUAACAGAUCCGCCAUCUUUCUGGGUCCCAAAUGUCUCAAAAUUAUGCAAUCCGGAAGAUGAUGAUUAAAUGGUUAUUUUUGUCAUUUCAAGUUUUUCUUUUCUUUUUUUUUUUU
RNAcentral lists this long non-coding RNA (579 nucleotides) under Durio zibethinus. RNAcentral describes it as "long non-coding RNA (DZIB_LNC000961)". Lineage: Eukaryota; Viridiplantae; Streptophyta; Magnoliopsida; Malvales; Malvaceae. The record is from RNAcentral.